This is a long non-coding RNA of Vicia villosa (hairy vetch), 3890 nucleotides long. RefSeq lists it as uncharacterized. NCBI's taxonomy places the organism in Eukaryota, Viridiplantae, Streptophyta, Magnoliopsida, Fabales, Fabaceae. The record is from RefSeq and is a predicted model, not a curated record. The transcript has 5 exons.
AAUUCCCAAAUAAAGAACACGACAAUUUUCUAAACCCAACUUUCAACAAGCCUAGGGAUAAAGUCUCCGAAAAUGGAAUCCAAACGUAAUCGGAGAACAAAGCCGCAUCAGAAUUUUCAAUUAAUUUCUGAAUUCUUCUCAAAGAGAAUCCAAACCUAGUUUCAUCGUAUUUCACCGAAACCCUUUUCACCAUCGCAGUGACGACAGCGAAGUUGAAGAAGUUUGAGAGUUCACCAUCGCUCAUUUCACAGUGACGACAUGCAUUGGUAAAACGAAGCUUUAGAACAGUUGAUAGAUCACUUGAGGAAUGAGUAUGAUAAGGUUCUUUGAACACAACAAUGACUUGGUAAAUGAAUUGAUUUCUGUUAGGUCUGUAUGUAUGUAAAUGAAUUUAUUCCUCUAUUUAUUUAAUUUUACUAAUCAUCUUAAUCUUGAAGAGACUGUCAACUCAGUGCUGUUACUUUGGCCAGAAAUCGUCGGAAUCACACUUAACUCAUCUUGCCGGUAAACUCAGCCGGACUCGGUCAUCCAGAAACGAUAAACAAACUCUUCGCAGGUUUUCCUUCCCCCAAUCUUCUCCAAUAUCGGGCGCAAGGAUUAAGAAGCAUUGAUAUAUUAUUACAGUCGGAGUCACUGCCGUGUGACCAAUGGAUAAUGGAUAUUCCUGUUGUUGAAUCACUCUCUUGCAAAGCUAGAAACUGGUUUAUCAUUCUUGGAAGCUGCAGGCAUGGUUUGCAUCCUAUCCAGGAAUCUCUGGUCCGUACUCACGGUUCACAAUGUGGAUUUUGUACACCUGGUUUUGUUAUGUCCAUGUAUGCGUUACUGCGGUCAAGUCAAACACCGCCUACUGAAGAACAAAUAGAAGAAUGUCUUGCUGGAAGUUUAUGCCGGUGCACUGGUUACAGAGCAAUAAUUGAUAGUCGGUAAUACUGAGGUAGGAAUUGAGAUGAGACUAAAAAGAAUACAAUAUCAAGUUCUGGUUUCUGUAAUGCAUGUGCCAGAACUAAAUCAAUUACACCCAAAACUCAGAAACCCUACAAUUAAUUGAACCCAAAACUCAAAAGUCUUGUGAUCAAUUGGACCUAGAAUUCACAAAUCUUUUUAUUUGUUUCAAGAAAUCUUCACAAAGGCCACUGUUUUUUCUCGAUGUCUCACUGUCACCUGUCUCGCUGUACUCUGUAACGGUUCUUUUUGGUUGGUUUGUAUUUAUGUUGGUUGAGACCGGUCUUUCCGUUCUUACAAGAAAAACCAUAAAUCCUCUUAUCUCCCUCCCGGUCCAGGUCUUUAGCGGCAACAUUCUCACAAUACAAAGCUCACACAAUGAAUUUGUAAGUGAAUCCUCAUCUAUGUAUAGGUCAUAAUACAUCACAAAUCUUAGCUCAAUAUUUAUAUAAUUUGGUUUAAGAAUUUAAGGAUUAGAGAUUUAUAUUUUAAGUUUGUUUUAUUUGUUUGCUUUUAGAUGAGAAUAGGGUUGUUCACCUAAACUAGGAUUUCUAAAGAAUACAUAUUUGUCUCUGUUAAUAAUGGAAAGGAAAUGAGUAGUUAUUUGGCUUUCAAGUGGUGUUGACUCUAAUUUAAGUUAGGUAGUGCUAAGUCAGUAUAUUAGAGUUGUUUUAAGCUUAAAUCAUGGUGGUAUAUGACAUGAUUUUGUCUAUUUUGGGAUUUCCUUGGUCUAUAGGCAUUAUGAUUUAAUGCAAUGGUCUGAUGUUACUUUGGCCAACCAAUCUCCUGUUGUGAAGUUAGUGAUAUACAAUUAUGGAAGCAUCAUUUUUAAUGGUAUUAAGAUUGCUGUGAAGUCAGUCAUAUUAACAUUGACUACAAUAUUGCUUUUUUGAAUUCCUUUUUGUUUGAAAACAACCAACUUGUUUAGUUAAUAUUGGGAGAUGAUCUUUUACAUGAAGCUUACUUGUUGAAAUGUAUGAACUUCAUAAUAUUACCAUACCCAACUUCAAUAGAACUGAUUUUCAAGCAUAAUUAGCCUUAGAAUCGGUCAACUUAGGAAUUUAGAGAGGCUUCAUGUGUCGGAUAAUUACUUUUACGAUUAUCUCCCUUAUGAGAUUUAAUACUUAGCGCACCUAGUAGAAAUUCAUUUGUAGUUUCUUAUAGUACAACUAUUUUAUUUCUCCAAAUAAUGUUGUUGUGUGGAUGUAGUUCAUGUCUUUUAUGAUGAAAUGUCCUCUAUUUUGAUGCAGGAAAAUUGUAUCUAUGUUCUAGUGUUGACUAAGUGUAUGUUUCUAAAUCUAUAUAAUAGUUUUUAGGGUUAAAUAUACUUCACCCCCUGCCAAUGUAGCGAGAUUCGGUUUGCCCCCCCUGAAUUAUUUUUUUUAGCAAAAGCCCCUUAAAAAACCCAAAUCAUGGAUUUACUACUCCUUGUUACCACACCAGCUGACUGGGCAACGAAAGCCUGGACACGCUGGCGCUGACAUGGCAAACCCACCCUCAUAAUACUAGGGUUCAUCUUUCCCUAAUUCCUUCGUCCAGACUUUCCCAGCUUGGUAUCUCCAUCGUCUUCCUUCUCUUGCUCCGCUUCCAUCAUCGCUUCCAUCAUCGUCUUCCUUCUCUUCCCCGUAUUCGUUUUCUUCACUCAGCCAUCUUCCUACCCUUCAGUCAUGGCGGAGAGCAACUCGUAUAGCAGUGUCAACUCGUUUCAAAAUCCAGAUUUACCUAGAUGUGGCUGUGACAGACCCAUGAAGUUGUGGGUGGCCAACACGGUUCAAAAUCGCAAUCGCAAGUUCUGGAAAUGUCGCAAUGCUGGGUCUGUGAAUAGCUGUCAAUUGUUCUUGUGGGAUGAUGAAAUCAGAGACCAUAUCAAUAUGCAUCGGAUGAAACUACCAGAAUGUAAAAGCUGUGAUAUACUAUCAGUGAAGUUAGAGACCGCAACAAACAAAAUUGAGAAGUUGAAGAAGAAGAAUGCAAGUCAGAACAGUGUUAAUAUGAGGCUGAAGAAGACUAUUUUGAUUCUCUGUUUAUUGCUUAUUGGCAUUGUGUAUUACUUAGAUUAAGAGCUCUUUGUUUGACAUUGUGUAUUUUGGUGGCAUUUGGAUGUAUAAACUUGUUGAAUUUAUGGCAAUAAAAUGAGUUAUGUUUUAUGUCAAUUGGAAAUGUGUAAUUUACAUCAAUGAAACCUGUCUGUUAACAUGAUAAAAUUGAUGAACUAAAUCUGAAACUGAUGAACUAAAACUGAAACUUUAACAUAACAAGUGCACCUUAUCAAGGGCAUAAUUCAGAAUACACAUGACAAAAUUGUCUUAGCAAACAUUAGCUUGUCAAAAUAACUGUCUUAGCAGCACACAGAUGCACCAAACAUGUGCUACUCAAAAUAACUGUCAAACUUUAUCCUUACAUUAGUGCACCAAACAUGUGCUAGUCAAAAUAAACAACCUUAGCUAAUCAAAUUAAACAUAAUGAAAUUUCAAGUCUUCUUUGAUGGAGUUCCCUUCUUUGGAGUAGUCUUCUUUGGAGUAUUCUUCUUUGGAGAAUGCUUGGAUGGCUUUUUUGGAGCAAUCUUGGAUGCCCUUUUUGGAGUAAUCUUUGAAGAUUUCUCUUCAUCAAUGUCCAUACAAAUAGGCUGCUCAGGGUUUGAACCUGGACCAGUGAAUGGUUUUGGUUUCUUGAACCAGUUCUCCUUUAUCCUCUCACUUACCCUUCUCCUCACAACUGGUUUGUCAAUCAUCUUUCCCUUGCCCUUGUAGUUGUUGCUUGUUGAUGCCUGAGAAUGGAAGUCUGGUAUGCUGCUUAGCAUGUCAUCAGUUAUAUCUCCAAACAAUGAAUCAGUCUUGGUAUCUUCAUGGAUUUCAUUGUUUGUAGCAGACUGGUUCCCAGGAUUUUGUUGACCUUCUUCAUUGUUUGUAGCAGACUGACUUCCAACAUUGCUAGUACCUUCUUCAUUA